This 75-nucleotide transfer RNA is filed under the name Flavobacterium sp. RNAcentral describes it as "tRNA-Glu". It matches the Rfam family "tRNA". Rfam says of the family: Transfer RNA (tRNA) molecules are approximately 80 nucleotides in length. Their secondary structure includes four short double-helical elements and three loops (D, anti-codon, and T loops). The record is from RNAcentral. Lineage: Bacteria; Pseudomonadati; Bacteroidota; Flavobacteriia; Flavobacteriales; Flavobacteriaceae.
GGUCCAUUCGUCUAGGGGUUAGGACGCCAGAUUUUCAUUCUGGUAACAGGGGUUCGAUUCCCCUAUGGACUACGA